UACGUAGGGGGCAAGCGUUGUCCGGAAUCAUUGGGCGUAAAGAGCGUGUAGGCGGCCCGAUAAGUCCGCUGUGAAAGUCCAGGGCUCAACCCUGGAAUGCCAGUGGAAACUGUCGGGCUGGAGUCCGGAAGAGGCGAGUGGAAUUCCUGGUGUAGCGGUGAAAUGCGCAGAUAUCAGGAAGAACACCCGUGGCGAAGGCGGCUCUCUGGGACGGUACUGACGCUGAGACGCGAAAGCGUGGGGAGCGAACAGG
Molecule: ribosomal RNA, 253 nt
Filed under: uncultured bacterium
Lineage: Bacteria
Description: partial 16S ribosomal RNA
Rfam family: Bacterial small subunit ribosomal RNA
Source: RNAcentral